Molecule: long non-coding RNA, 18906 nt
Filed under: Manihot esculenta (cassava)
Lineage: Eukaryota; Viridiplantae; Streptophyta; Magnoliopsida; Malpighiales; Euphorbiaceae
Description: long non-coding RNA (MESC_LNC007042)
Source: RNAcentral
CUCACAUCGCAGCAAAACAGACGUCACGCUCUUCCUCCAUUUCUCUCUCGCGCAGAGCUAAGUUAUGCUCUUCUUCUCGGAAUUCAGAUCCUAGGGUUUCGUUUCCUUUCCCUCUUCUUUCUCAGAAGUUAAACCCCACCUAAGCCUUCUCAAUCCUCUACAUUUUGCCUCUUCGCUUUCCACAUUUCACCUCCAUUAUCAAUUUCUAUAUUCCAGGAAAAUCUAACUCCUCUGGACCUGCCACAUCAAUCAAUUCAUGGCCAAAACCAAACCAGGCAAAAAAGACCUCGAUUCCUACACUAUCAAAGGCACCAACAAAGUUGUUCGACGUAUGUACUCUCUCUCUCUCUCUCUCGCUCUCUCUAUUGGUGGAAUCUCCAUCAUUCCUUUUUUGCCUUUGGGAACCCAUGAAUUUCUCAUCUUUUUCCCCCUUUUAGAACCCAUAUUCUCAUAUUGUUUCCUUUUUUUGACGUUAAAGAUUUUGAAAACCCAGUAUUAAUGGAAGUUUUCAUACUUUGUUUUUCAUCAUUUUUAAUGUUGGGUCAUUUGUUUUCCCGUUUGGGUCUCUGAAGACCGUGGAAGUUGCUACUUUUUUGCUUAUUCUCAAAAACCCCAAAAUCUCGUUUUUAUGAUAAUUUUUGAACCGCCCAUUUUGCAGAAAUAUUGCCUAACUUUUAUUUUUUGAUCAUUCAAUGUUUUGUUCAUUUUGUUGCAGCUGGUGAUUGUGUGUUGAUGCGCCCAUCGGACUCCGAUAAGCCUCCCUACGUCGCACGAGUUGAGAAAAUUGAGGCCGAUCAUCGCAAUAAUGUCAAAGUCCGUGUCCGGUGGUACUAUCGGCCAGAGGAGUCCAUUGGUGGCCGCCGUCAAUUCCAUGGGGCAAAAGAGCUCUUCUUAUCGGACCACUACGAUGUGCAAAGUGCACACACAAUUGAAGGCAAGUGCAUCGUGCACUCAUUCAAGAACUACACUAAGCUUGAAAAUGUUGGAGCUGAGGACUACUUCUGUAGAUUUGAAUACAAGGCUGCCACUGGUGGGUUCACCCCUGAUCGGGUAGCUGUGUGAGUAUUCUUUUGCAUUUUCUGUUAUUUGGGUUGAAUUGAUUUUGUAGGUUUUUAAGUGUUGAAGUAAUUGGAUUAUUCAACUGAGACCUGGAUUCUUUUUUCUUCCUUGUAAGGUACUGUAAAUGUGAGAUGCCAUACAAUCCAGAUGAUCUAAUGGUGCAGUGCGAGGGUUGCAAAGAUUGGUAAAUUUUUUGCCAACUCUCAAUUUUUAACAAGAAUUAUAUAUAUUAAAUUGCAAAGCUUACAUUUACAUAUUCUGCUGAUCUUUUAAUUUGUAGAAGCCACAUGAAUUUUGAAUUAGUGUGGACAUACUGUCCUUUUGGUCUGUUUAUCAAAUGUUUCACGGUAGUAUUUCCAUUAUUGAUAUACUUAUAACCUUGCGCUCAAUUUAAACCUUUGUUUGGCUGGUUAAACACUUAGUUAACUUAAGUGCACCAAGUGAUGCUGUACCUUGAAUGUUUAGAGGAAGUAUAUCCAUCUUAUAGUAUUUUCAUAUUUCGUUGUUUAUUUGGACUGUCGCCAAAAGCAAUAAUUGGUGCCAAUGUGUCAUUAAGCUUGUGAGUUGCAUGAUGCUGCAAAGCUCUAGCUUAUGUAAGGUUUUUAAUGAAUGAAUCUAGCUUGAACUAAGUGAAGCUUGCUGAAGCACUUGCAUUAAUUGUGUAUGGGUCUGAGUCAGCCUGUAUGUGGGCACGUUUCAUAUCUAACAGUCUUUUACAAUAGACUAAAGAAGUAACACACACACACACACACACACACACACCCACCCACCCACCAUGUACUUCUAGUAAGGUCCCUAAAUGUUAAGCAUCUAGAAAUGACAUUAUAAUAAUUAGGAUGGUUAGCUAUGUUGCUGAAGCACAUGCAUUAAUUGUGUAUGGGUCUGAGUACUGUAUGUGGGCACGUUUCAGAUCUAACAGUCUUUUACAAUAGACUAAAGAAGUAAAACACACACACACACACACACACACACCAUGUACUUGUAGUAAGGUCCCUAAAUGUUAAGCAUCUAGAAAUGACAUUAUAAUAAUUACGAUGGUUAGCUAUGUUGCUGAAGCACUUGCAUUAAUUGUGUAUGGGUCUGAGUCAGCCUGUAUGUGGGCACUUUUCAGAUCUAACAGUCUUUUACAAUAGACUAAAGAAGUAACACACACACACACACACCAUGUACUUGUAGUAAGGUCCCUAAAUGUUAUGCAUCUAGAAAUGACAUUAUAAUAAUUAGGAUGGUUAGCUUUUGGUGAUCGAAUGAUUAAUAAUUGUUGUUAUAUGCCUGAUGAUCGAAAGUAGUAAACACCUGAUAUUGAGUUGUAAGCAGAAAACUUAUGUUAUAUUGCAGGUGCUUACUUAAAAAUGUGUCAUCUUGGUGUUUGGUGUAGUUUCAAAUCACCUUUUAUCAUAGUUUCAACAUCAUAUUAUUAUGAAUUGGAUUCAUGAACUUUCUUACUUGUAGUAUUAAGAAAGGUCGCAUGGAGUUUUGAUGGGUUCUUUGAACUUUUUUGGAUUAAUUGUAACAUUGUGUUUCUUGUCUGUCAAAGCUCAUUAACUGUAGAUUGUUUAAACUUUUAGAUGAAGUACUCAAUUUAUAUUGGAAUUUGGAACUCUUUCACAGCUGAUUGGGUUUAUUUAUUUAUUUUUAUUCUUCUAUCAACUAAAUUUGGAAGGGACGCUUUCCUUUAAUAUCCUUAACCAAGUGGAAUAGACAGAUCCAUUUAGCUGAUCCAUUAGAUUGAGAUUAAUGCUUGAUUUUACCAAGUAGAAACAUUAUGGAAAUAGAUCGAAACCAGAAUUUGAUGGUUGAACACUUAUUUAACCGUGGUGCGCUUUUUUGAAGUUGUGAUAUAUCAUAUACUGCAUAAUCAAAUAUUACAACUUGUCGAAUUGGAUUGUUUUUUUGUGCUUGAGUGAUUAUGCAAUAGCAGUAAGUUCUUGAGUGAUUAUGUAGCAGUAAGAACACUAAAAACUGUGAUUUCCUAACCGCUUUGCUAAUACAUUGCAGGUUUCAUCCUUCUUGUAUGGGUAUGACAAUUGAAGAAGCCAAAAAAUUGGAUCACUUUCUGUGUUUUGACUGUUCCUCUGAUGAUGAUGCCAAAAGGACUUUGAACGCUUUCCCAGUAUCACCAUCUGUUGAGGCCAAGGUGAACAUUGUGUCCCAUCUCCCUAGUACAACUACAGGUGUGGGUGAAUAAGUAGCGCCUAGGUGUCAAAUUAUCAUGAGAACUAGUGAUCAGCUUCGCUGCUUGUGUACUGAUAUUAUUUGUUCUUCCAGUUCUGGUGGUUUUAAUCUUUUACAACUUGGUACUUGGUUUCUCCAGCCAUCCUUUUUCCCUGUCAGUUUUGCAAUCAAGUUAUAUUCUCAUCUCAAAGAUUAUAGGAUGAUGCUCAGCUUGUUGUCUUAGAUGUCAUGCUUUGGUCUUGCACAAUCUUUGCCCACCUUAUCUGUCAUAUAACCUGUUUUCACUGUGCAACCAAAUUUCAGUUUUGUUACCUAUUGGCAUGUAACUAAUGAUAAAAAAUGCCAACUGAUUUUGACGGUAUGGAUGUAUAGGGGCUUCUUAAUAUGAAUGCAGGAAAUUUCUAUAAAGUUUGAUAUGGAAGAAAUAGCUGAGAGCCGCAUUAAUUUGGAGGCAUAUAUACUGUGAUUAUGACAUCGUUAAGUGAUUAAAGUAGUGCAAACAUUGUAGAAGAGUACAAUACUCACUAUGCUGAUACUGCAUAGAGCUCUACUGAUUUGUGUUAAAGUUUAUCCUGGGCUGAUUGUGCCCUUGCUAGUUGCAAAUUUUGGUUCCAUGUACUAAUAUUCUAAGGCCUCUUGGGCCUUUGGGAUUGUUGUUAUUGGUCGUGUUUCGUACAUUCAAAAACACAGAGGAAUAUUGGCCAAAUUAUGUUCAGUUCAUGGGGAACUAAGGAUUACUGACCUGAGCAUUACUAUUUCCAUUGGCGGGCAUGAAAAGGUGUAUCUUAACAUGAUGGUCCAUCAAAUGACAUUUUACUUGUUCAAUUGUAUUGCAACAUACACCUCAGAUGGUACGUAAAUAUUGGCCGAGUUAAUUUGUCUGUUAAUGAACAAAUGCACAUGGGACAGGGGGUUGGCGUUUGAUUUGGGAUUUCUUUUUUAGUUUCUUAACAAGCAUGCCAUCAGCUUCUUAUUGCAAUUAAAUUUAAACUGUGUAGUUAUAUUGUUUCAAGGUAGAGCAGAGGAUUAGCAAGUAGAAUACAUGCUUAAUUAAUUUAGAUCAUCGAAUGUUGGAUUAGAGAGAGAGAGAGAGAGAGGAAACAGCUUAAUGGGUGUGACCUUGUUCAUCCUAGUUGAUGGUUUCCAUUUAUAUUUAGGGAUAAAUUGGAAGGUUGGAAUGGAUGUGUUGGUGGCAGUGAAAAGUACCACCUACUACCUAGGAGGUUGGACUUCAAACAAGUUCUGUUUCUAUUGAGGGCAAUGUCUAUGCAGCAGUGAUUAUUUGAGGUCCUAUACUCUGUUGAGAAAUUGGUUUUUUAUUUGCUUAGCCAAUUUUUUCCCCUUUUUAAUUUUCUCCAUCAACGGUCAGUAUGCUCUUGCUUGAUCAUGGUAAACUAGUAUAGUAAUGCUUUAUACUAUGUAUUGGAGGAAGUUAGUUUUAAAAGAAGGUAAGGUUUUUGGACUUCACUAACUCACACGCAUAUACACACAUGAACGAGAAUGUCAUAUGCACAAUAAUCAGACUGGUACUUUUAUCAUUGCAGACUUUGUUUACAAUUUCAUCGUAUUAGAUUUUACACAUUACUUUUGCUGCUUAUCACAUGAUACUUCUAGAAUUUGGGAUGGGAUCUUGUAGUUUAGUUGUCUAAAAACUCUACAUGUCCAUUUCCUUUAGAUCUUCUCUGUUGUGUGGAAGCGAAAUAUUGUGAAAUAUUCUAUUUCUACUUUAUAGGUUUUGCUUCUUUACAGUUAUUGGUGAUUUGCUUAACAUGGAUUUUCUAUAUAAAGGAUUUUAGUUUUAACAGAAAACAUUUUUUGAUGGUUGCAGAAACUAGUAACUUUCUGGUGUCUGUCUAAGGUGUUCCCAUGUUAUUUUGUCUUUGCUAAGUUGCUUAUUUGCAUAAGUAUUAUCUGUACAAGUAUCUCACAUGGUAACCCUAGCAUACUUUAUUUAUCUAAUAUGAUACUCGUUUGGUAUUUUGACUUUAUAACUUGCUUUAGCUUUCUCUGUUGAAACUAAUCUGUACUUUGCAUCUCUAAGUAAAUCUUUGUGCUUGAGAGUUUCGGAUGGCAUUUGAUUGUUUAGAUAUCCAAAUGAUCAUCUCCUCAAGUUCUGCUUGGAGCUAAAUGUUGUAGUCCUCUUGGUGUUCAUAAUUAGUGAUUAUUUUAUCUGUAUGAUGCAUAUAUCUGACUGAGUCAUGAAAUUAUGUAACACUCAUGAGCAGGUGGCAAAAUUGGAUGCCAAUCUUUGUGGGGAGAUUAUAUUCCCUGUGCUUUGUCUAUUUUGGUCAGAGAGAAAAUAAUGUUAAUUCAUUAACCCUUCGUUUGGUAUGAAUGAUUUUGUAAGAAAAGAAUUCAAAUGAAUUCUUGCAAAAUCAUUCAUGAUUUCAUUUUUUAUACAUGAUAAAAAGUUUUCAAGUUAAAAAAUUUUUAAUUCUUUUAUUUCAAACAAAAAUUUUGCAAGAAAAGAAUUCAAUUGAAUUGAAUUCUUAUAAAAUUCUUAAUUCCAAACAGAGGGUAAAGGAUUUAAGUCAUAUUUAUGAAAGUUAAUUUAUCAGAAGCAUUAGAAGUUCUGAAUAAUUAGCGAAUUUUAUUGCAAAAGAUGGAGGUGUAGCCUGUGUAAGUUUAAAUGGCAUAUUUUGUUUACAAGGAAAAGCUAAUGGAUUUAUGUUAAAUGCUUUGGAAAAGGAUCCUUUUGUUUUUGUGUUGCCUGAAGAAGAAUAUAUGUGUUAAUUCCUACGAAAAGAAAAUUCAUUUCAAUUGAUAUUUUGAUUCUUGAUUGUUUCUAAUAUGGGAUUAUUAGUCUUUUCUGUUUUUUUGUCCCUUUACUCUUUAUGAUGUAUUUUUCUCGUCUUGGUUUUUUAUGCUAGCUGGAGACAAAGCGAAGGAAGAGAUGACAGAUAAUCAUGAUGGGUGAUUGGGAGGUACUUUUUCUUGCACAUUAGCUGCAGUGUGUUCUUGUUGCUUGAUGUUCAAUUAUACAGUGCUGAUAAGAUAUUAUGCUUGCACAAGCAAGAGGCUCUUCUUAUUUAUAAUUUUCUAGUGUUUGUUCGUGCGAAUGGUCUUAGGAGAUGAUCUGUAGUGCCUAAUGAUGUCCUCGUGAGUGCUGUGCCAAAAAUUGAAGUGUCUUUUUUCUUUUCUGCUCCUAAAAUGAUGAUGAAUCAAAUUAAAUGUCUCGUGAACCUUGGGUUUGUUAUGGUAUAUGCUAUAUAUGUGACAAACUCAUUCUGUUCUUCCUUUCUUCUUCCCUUAAUCACAAGGGACGUGGAAAGAGGAGUUGGGUUUUAGCAAGAGAUGUAACAGUCGACUUAAUCCAGGCACUGCUUUGGACUCAAAUCUUCAUGUGGGGUGAUUUGUUGAUGUAGAUGAAGGCAAAUACCACUUAGUCUCAACGUCCAAGGGUGGUUAUGGUUUUCUUGUUCCUUUUUUCAUUUUUUUCUUUUUGUAUAGAUGGCUCUGGACAAAUUUUUGAGCCAGUGUCCCAAUUCUCUAGUUGCCAAGUCUUCUGAAAUUUUGAAUCACCUGUUGAAAGCUAGCUGAUUGAAUGUGGGAUUUCCUCUAUUGAGCAGAGCUGCUGAUAGCCUUGCCGAGGGCAUCAACUGUUCCGUAUGAAUAUAUAUGAAUAAACCAUAUUUGUAGGAGCAGGGGAGCAAUGCCACCAUCUAUUGGUGAGCAUCUUUAUCUAAUUAUGCAUAUUUUUGUUAUCGACAGCCUCUAGUUGAGAAAGAGAGAGAGAGAAAAGUUCACAUUGGAGUUUUGUGUGCAUAAUGCAUGAAUGGGUUUCUUGAAGGAUUUGGAAUCCCACACAUAUGUUCUAAGAUGAUAUUUUAAUCACAUAUAUCAGAGUUGAGUGCUGGGAAAGAAAAUGCAAUUUAUGGUAUCAUACUGGAUCUUACUGGUUUCUGAGGGAAAAGGUAAUAACUCAAAAAUUGCAUGGUUAAGAAGAAAAAACAAAAAGAAAGCAAGGAGGAGCACUGUUUGAAUGCGGAUCGUUAAGCAAAUGUUGGUUGUUGAUCAACAUCCAUUUAUUAUGAAGGAUUUUAAUAAAAAAAAUUUACAUGUUUAAAAAAAGGUUUAACUAAUGAAAACUUAAAAAGAGAUUAUCUGUGUUUGCAAGGUCAUAAAGAGGUCAUAAAAUAUCUGGUCUCAAACAUGUGUAUCUAAUUAAUGGAGAAAUUUACUAUUUAGGAAAAUUUAUUAGUUGAUCUAUUGGGAUUGAAGAAUAUAUUGAGAUUUUAAAAAAUUUAUUAAAUUAGUUAUUUCUUUUAUUUUAGCCAAUAAGUAUAGUAUUAUAUAAUCUCAAUGGUAUGGAAAAAUUAGAGAGCUGAUGUAGCAAUGGAGGUUAAAUUUAGCAAAAGGAGUUAAUGGUGGGAUAAACUAAUCCUAUGGUAACAGUUCAAGCUAAAUCUAUCAAGAAAAAAAAUUUUUCUUUUUUUAUUUAAUAUAUAUUAAAAAACUAAAACCUAUUGGUUUCUUAAAUAAUUUCUUUUUAUUAAGAAAUUUCUAAAGUAUUUUAAAGCAUAAGGUAUUUAAUUUUUUUGAUGAGUAAGAAAAGUCAAUAAAAUUCAUUACUUAAUCUGUGUCAACUUUAUUUUCUUAAAUAAAGUUAUUUAUGGAUUUAUUAUUAUGUUAUUAUUUAAUAUGCCAAUAAAAAAAAUUUAUCCAUUGUAGAAGUAAUUUGAUGUAAUAUAAUAAUAUUAAGAAAAAGGUUAAACAGAAAUUAUUUUAACUAUAUUAAUCAUUGUCUCUUCUUAAAUUAUAUUGAAAAGAGUAAUAACUAUACUAGAACUUACAAGCGAUUGCUAUAGCCUUGAAUUCAACAUGUAACAUGGGGAGACCUUUCUGUUAUUCAAGGUGUAACUAUCAUCUUUAAAAAAAAAAUCGUUUACUUGUCCUCUGUUAUUCAUGAAAAGAAAUUUCUUGCACGUAUCUACAUGUUAAAGUUAUCAGUUUUAGAGGAGGGGCAAUAGUUCGAGUCAGUCAAAAGUAAGCUCAGAAAUAUUAGAGACACUCCAUCAAAGACUUAAAAAAAUGACAAUUUCAAUUGACUUAUUGAAAAAGUCCCUCACACACAGUUUGAGUCAACAGAUCAAAAGGUAUGUUUUGGUUCGAUUUUAAAUAACAUUAUAAAAAAGAGCUUGAUCUUAAACAAUAUUAUAAAAAAGAGCUUGUUAACCUUUUGAGAAGUACGAAGCUUCGACAUAAUCACACACAGCUUAAAUAUAGAUAUUUUAGUUAAGUCGAUUCAGCAAAAAAAAAAGAAGGAAAUUCACUUGUAAAAGAGAGUAGGUAAUAAAAGGUGAAAUUAAUAAACUGUCAAAUGCAUGAUUGAUUAAGAAAAUGCAAUAUUCUACAUGACUCAUUAAUGUGGUGCUAGUGAAAAAACCUUAUAGAAAGUGAAGGAUAUGUGUAGACUUUACGAAUUUAACCAAAGCAUGUCCCAAGAAUCAGUAUCGACUCUAUCUAUUGAAAGGUUAGUUGUGGUUUCUUUUUUUGAUAUUAUUUCAAGUGUGAAACUAUUUAGAAGUAAUAUAGUUUCUAAGAGGGGUAUGAAGAUUAACACAUAAAAAUUAAAGCAAUAUGGGACAUAAAAGUAUCAAAAUGCAUUAAUGAUAUCUAAAAAUUAAACGAGCGGAUGACAACCUUCGGUAGUCAUUUCAUAUUCCGCUAAACGGUGUCAUUUUUUAAGACUUUAAAGAGAAAUAAUAAAUUCAUUUGAGGAGAAACUUUUAAUGGCUUAAAAGGUUUUGUAUCUUCUUCAUUAUUAUUUUAUAAAAUUAACUCCUUAAUUAUUAAUCAUUAAUUAUUUAAAUAUUUAAACUAUUUAAUUUUUAUAAUUUAAAUUAAAUAUAUUAUUUAAUCAUAUAAUUUUAAAUAUGUAUAUUAUGUAUAAUCUCUUUGACAAAAUUUAAAACAAAUUAAUUAAUAUUUCUCAUGACUAAACAAUUUAAUUAUAUAAAAAAUAUAUAAAUAAUUUAAUUAAGUAAUUUUAAAAUAAAAACAAAAUACUCCAUUUCUUAAAAUUUCAGAGACCUAAUAAUAAUUCAUCUAUUUUUUUCUUUAAAAAUGGAAGAUACUCUUUAACAAAACACACUGUCCUUUUGAAAUAGUUUAUAUAUAUAUAUAUAAAUAUAAAGCAUCAUUCAAUUAUAGAAUAUAAUUAUUCUAUGAAAUAUGAAAAUGGUAUUUAUUGGUAAGAAAUACGGUUUAAAAAAUAGUGCCCUAGUUUUCUUUCUCUAGUUUUCUUUCCUUCUCUUUGAGGCAGUGGUCUUGACUUUGCUGGUGAUGCAGCUGCCUUUUUCCAAUUUUUGCCUGGGUCACGUUCCUUUCCUCCCCACAUGGGUGAAAUUUUUUUCCCUUUUUCCUUUUUUUUUUUUUCAGUAGGUAAUGUUUAUCGAUAGAACGGUUUGUUUAUUUUUUCAGUCUGUGAUGUCCCAAGAUAAGUGACUAAAAAGUAGGUAAAUAGUCACUUUACCAAUUUUUCAACUGUUGUUCUAAGAUUCAAUUAAAAAUUAAAACUGCUAUUUCUGAGUAUGAGUGAGUUCUAGUUUAAACAGAUAAUUAAAAUAUUUUCUUGAAAGAUUAAAAAAUAAAUUUAUUAAAUGCAAAUAUGUACUAUAAAGAUUAAAAAAUAAAUUUAUUAAAUGCAAAUAUGUACUAAAUAGAUGUAGAUAACAUAAAGUAAAAAUGAAAUUAACAAGCUAAUUUUUGUAUAUUCUUGUAACAUUAUUUUAAUAUUUAAACACAUAUCUCAAAUAAAUAUUAAAAAGCUGNNNNNNNNNNNNNNNNNNNNNNNNNNNNNNNNNNNNNNNNNNNNNNNNNNNNNNNNNNNNNNNNNNNNNNNNNNNNNNNNNNNNNNNNNNNNNNNNNNNNNNNNNNNNNNNNNNNNNNNNNNNNNNNNNNNNNNNNNNNNNNNNNNNNNNNNNNNNNNNNNNNNNNNNNNNNNNNNNNNNNNNNNNNNNNNNNNNNNNNNNNNNNNNNNNNNNNNNNNNNNNNNNNNNNNNNNNNNNNNNNNNNNNNNNNNNNNNNNNNNNNNNNNNNNNNNNNNNNNNNNNNNNNNNNNNNNNNNNNNNUGCAGAGAGUUCUGGAUAUGCGUCCAUGUACGUUCAACAAUCAUCUCCUGGUUCUUGAGAAGUUGGAAGGUUUCUCCCACCCGUCUAAGGUUCCUCUUACCCAUGUCCCCUUCUGGAUUCAGGUGCAUGGUUUGCCGUCGGGGUUCUUUUUUGAACGUGUAGUGACCCGCAUAGGGAAUGAAUUGGGUGUCUUCAUGGAAUCUGAUCCUUACAACUUCCUGGGUCCUCGGAGGGCUUAUGUUCGGCUUCGAUACAAGCAUGACCUUUCAGCUCCCAUUCACAAAUCCUUGAGAAUGCGCAAGAGUGAUGGAGCAUGGUUCACUGCAACUUUUGCUUAUAAGAGGGCGCCCAGUUUCUGUUUCAUUUGUGGACUGUUUGAUCAUACAGAGAAAUUUUGCAGGGAGCUUCUGAAGUUUGGGAAUGCGCCAGUGGUUCGAAAAUUUGGGCCGAAAUUACGUGUCAAUCAUCGACGCCCUCAGAGUCUUGGCAGCCGAUGGCUUAAGGGAGGAGGAGGGGAGCAAAGCAUCCAAGGUCAGUCGAGUUUUAAUUCUGGUAAUUCCACUGAUAGCGGACUGAAUUCGCCUCCAAAUGCGGGGGUCUAUAAUGAUCAUGAUAUGGAAAGGGGUCAAGAGGAUCUUGAUGUUGGGGAGGAUCAAGCUAUGGGUUUGGGAGUUGGUGUAACCAUUGUUGAUCCUAAACGGCGACGUAUAGGACCUGAUCACAAGAAGGUCAUUGGGGAGAGGUCCUCUGUGGUACACGGUUCAAGCAAUGCAGGUAGUAAUCAGUCAAAAAAUGGAGUAGCGGCGGGUCCUGGGGUUCAGGCCCGCCGAUCACAAUGAGUUGUAUUAGUUGGAACUGUCGUGGGCUUGGCAACCCACGAGCAGUUCAGGCCCUGAAAGAGAUGAUCAGGGUUAAGAGGCCGAACUUUCUUUUCUUGAUUGAAACUUUAUGUGGUUCUGCUAGGGUGAAUGAGAUAAAAGGUUUGUUGGGCUUUGAUGAUUUUUUCAGUGUGGAUAGUUUGGGUCAUAGCGGAGGGUUGACUUUAUUGUGGAGGUCAGUCUCUUCUAUCUCUCUCUUAAGUUCAUCGCAACAUCAUAUUGAUACAGAAAUCUGCAUGGAUGGUGUUGGUUCUUGGCGCUUGACAGGGUAUUAUGGUGAAGCUGAUCGUGGCUCUCGCCACUUGUCUUGGCAGAGACUGCGUAUACUGGCAUCUCAUCUUGAAGCGCCUUGGGUGUGUUUGGGUGACUUCAAUGAUAUUCUUUCUCCAUCUGAGAAGCGAGGUGGUCGACCCCAACCUCCACGCUUGAUCAAUGGGUUUCGAAAGGCUCUUUGUGAUUCUGGUCUUAUAGAAUUUCCUAUGACAGGAUACCCGUUCACGUGGGAGCAUAGCAGAAACAGUGGUAGUUGGGUGGAAUCUAAGUUGGAUCAUGUUCUUACUAAUGCUCAAUGGCGUGCCAGGUUCUCUAAUUCUUUAGCUGAAGUGAUGGGUUUCUCUACAUCUGACCAUCUGCCUAUCCUGCUUGUAGUUAAAUGCUUUGUGGAACAGCGUCAUGCUCACCGGUUUCGUUUUGAGAAUACGUGGCUAUGUGAGACUGGUUGCCGGAAUCUUAUUUUUGAUAUUUGGCAGUCUUCUUCUAACAUGGAUGCUGCGGGUAAGCUUGAGGCUUGUCGUUCUGCUCUCAAAUCUUGGGGUAUAAAUCUUCGUCUUAAGCACAAAGUGGAGAUGGAUGAGUGCCUUGCUAUCAUGUCCCAUUUACGUGGCUCUCGCCUACAGGAACAUAUAACUGAGUUUUUACGAGCUAAAGCCUGCUUCUUUCACCUCCUAAAUCUCCGUGAGAUCUUCUGGAAGCAGCGGGCCAAGCAAUUUUGGCUUAAGGAGGGUGAUGCUAAUACUCGUUUUUUCCACCAGUCUGCCAGUGCUCGAAAAAGGAAAAACACGAUUGUCAAACUGCUAGAUGAUUCAAAUGUAUGGCGGGACAGGAAUUCGGGGUUGGAGGGUGUGAUGACUGAUUACUUUAUGACUCUUUUUACUUCCCACAGUUGUAAUUCUGAACAUGUUUUGCAGUGUGUCCCGACGUUGGUAUCACAAGAUCAUAAUGCUUCUCUCUUAGCGCCAUACAGUUGUGAUGAGGUAAGGUCUGCAGCCUUUUCCAUGAAAAUUGAUAAAUCUCCUGGGCUAGAUGGUUUCAAUCCUGGUUUUUUCCAGCAGUAUUGGAAUAUUAUAGGAGAUGAUGUAUCUAGUUUUUCCAUUGAGUGUCUGCAUUCCUUGUCUAUUCCUCUGAAGUUGAAUGAGACGGCUUUAGUUUUGAUUCCAAAGAAGUUUGUGCCUGAGCAAAUGAGCGACUUGCGUCCUAUAGCCCUCUGCAAUGUGGUCUAUAAGAUCAUCACUAAGAUGAUAGUUAAUCGGCUUAAGUCCCUUCUGCCCACCAUCAUCUCGGAGAGUCAGAGUGCUUUUAUUGCUGGUCGAAGUAUUCAGGAUAAUAUAAUCUUAGCUUUUGAGGCCUUGCAUGGUUUUAAAGUGCAUCAAAGGAAAAAAGAGUUUUCUGGGGCCCUCAAAAUGGAUAUCAGCAAGGCCUAUGAUAGACUUGAGUGGGGUUUCAUUCGGGAUAUGCUUCUUCGGCUGGGUUUUGCGCAACAAUGUGUUGCUUUGCUGUUCUCUUGUAUCUCCACUGUUCGUUAUUGGAUCCUGCAUGAUAGCAAGGAGUUAGGCCCUAUUGUUCCUACAAGGAGAUUGAGGCAAGGAGACCCCUUAUCGCCGUACUUGUUUAUUCUUUGUGCUGAGGGGCUUUCCCGUCUCCUGCAAAAUUGUAUAAGCAGUGGAAGCCUUCAUGGGUAUAGGGUUUCUCGGGGUGGCCCGCAGCUUUCUCACCUUUUUUUCGCAGAUGAUAGCUUGAUCUUCUUCCGAGCAAGUGUUCAGGAGGCUUUGGAACUCAAGCGUAUCCUUCGCAUGUAUGAAAAUGCAUCUGGACAGGUGAGAAACCUUCAGAAAUCAUCUAUCUCCUUUAGUAGGUACACUCCUGUGGCUCUUCGGGACUCUGUAUGCUCAGUACUUCAGGUUGAGGAGAAACCAGAUUUUGGAAAUUAUUUAGGACUUCCUUCUCAUGUUAGGAAUAAUAAGAGGGAAGUGUUCAGUUUUGUUAAGGAUAGAUUGUGGAAAAGGCUGAAUUCUUGGAAGCAUCGGGCACUGUCUCAAGCAGGUAAGGAGGUUCUCUUGAAAACAGUCCUCCAAGCUUUGCCAAACUAUGUGAUGAGCUUAUUUUUACUUCCUCGGACUCUUUGUGAUGAACUGCAACGCAUGAUGACUAGAUAUUGGUGGAGUAAGGGGGCGGAUCAAAAUCGGGGUAUUCAUUGGCUGGGUUGGCACAGAAUGGCAAAGCACAAAUCUGAUGGCGGGCUACGUUUCAAAAUUCUUUAUAAGUUUAACUUGGCCAUGCUUGGGAAGCAGGGCUGGCACAUUAUCAACAGGCCUCAGUCCUUAGUGGCUCGUGUCCUUAAGGCCCGCUAUUUUUCGACACAAUCUUUCUUUGAAGCUCCUUUGGGAAGUAACCCUAGUUUUUUGUGGCGCAGCAUAUGGGAAACUCGGGGUCUGAUUCGAGCUGGGGCUUACUGGAGGAUUGGGAAUGGUCAGUCAGUUUCAAUCUGGGGGCAACCCUGGUUGAGAGAGCUGCCUGAGUCCCUGGUUUCCACAACCCCUCCUUUGAACUGUGCUAGAGUUGUUGUUUCAGAUCUCAUAAUUAACCACAGAUGGAACGAGAGUUUAAUUGCACAGAUGUUCAAUGAAAGAGAUAGAAGUUGUAUUUUGAACAUCCCUCUUAGUCUUUCAUCGUGUUCUGAUACAUGGUACUGGAAAUUCGAGUCCAAAGAUCACUAUUCGGUUAAGAGUGCAUAUAGGUUCCUGGUUGAUGGCUUUCAACAUAGGGAAGGGAGCGAGAUAUGGAAAAGGUUCUAGAAAGCUAAAGUUCCCCCAAAAGUGCUCAAUUUCUGCUGGCGGGCUCUAGUUAAUGUUGUCCCUUGCCUCUCGUUACUUCAGUCCAAGAGAGUCCCAGUUGAUCCUUCAUGCCCGUUGUGUCAUGUAGCCCCUGAGAAUGUCUUGCAUAUUCUGAUUCAGUGCCCUUUUGCCCGCAGCUGCUGGUUAAGCUCGUCGUUGGGUUGGCCUGCGCCUUCUGCAUCUUCUUUAAAUGAGUGGUUUUCUUUAGCCUUCUCUUCUGCUUCUGUGGAAAAUGCCUCCCUUAUGCUAAUGAUCUUAUGGGCUUUGUGGCAAAAUAGGAACAAUGUUGUAUGGAAGGGCCAGGGUCAGACUGCGAGUGGUGUGUUCUUCAUGGCUCUGAAUUUUUUGCAGCAAUGGAAAGCAGCCCGGGUCGUGUCCUCAGUAAGCACCAUUGUCGACCCGGCUCGCCUGAUCUGGUCUCCUCUGCCGCAUGGUUGGAUCAAGGCGAACAUUGACGCCUCUUUAAGAUUGCAACGAGGUUCGGUAGGUUUCGGUUGUGUAAUCCGGAAGGAUGAUGGGAGUUUUGUGGCUGCUAGAGCAGGCUCUUUUUAUAGCCAGAUGGAUGCAAAGUGUGCUGAAGAUAUAGCAUUCCGGGAAGCAUUGAGCUGGAUUAAAGAGUGUGGAUGGGAUCGAGUUCUUUUCGAAUUGGAUGCUCAGGUACUUGUGAUGUCAGUUAAUUGUGUUUUAUUAGAUGAUUUAUCGUCUUUUGACCUUUUAGUUCAAGAUUGUAAACUGCUUCUAUCUAGUUAUGAGGAAACAAAGUGUGUUUUUGUUUAUAGAUCUGCAAAUGAUGUCGCUUAUGUUCUAGCAACAUCGGCUCAUUCUAAGUCAGGUCAAGGAGUUUGGAUUGAUAUCCCUCCUCCUCAUAUUGUUUCUUUGUUCUCUUUGAAUUAAUAAAGUUUUCUUGUUAUUUCAAAAAAAAAAAAAAACAAUUAUAAUAAAAAAAUUGAUUUAAUUUCAGCAAUGAUUUCUAGUGUGAAAAUUAUCUCAUUAUUGUUUAUCUUUAAUAAUACUUACAAAUAUAAAAACUAAAUUUAAAAUAUUAAUAAUAUUACCUUAUUUUACAAUUUAUUUAUUUAUCUAUCAAUAUGCAUUAACCAAUAUAUAAAACGAUCAGGAUGUUAGAAUAAUCCUUUAAAAAAAAUAUUCUGCAAAACGUAAAAUAAAAACUAUAAAUAGUUUUUAAUUUUUUAAAAAUAAACAAAUAAAAAACCAAUAAUAUUAUUAAACACAAUGAUAUUACAUAAGACUCGCUCAAAAUAGACAGUGAGCUGCUACCAUUAGACAGAGCCACAUAGCAAGGAUUUAAUAAACAUAUAUGCAGUUCCACCACCAUAGAAAAGAAGACCCGGGUGCUUCAGGACAAGUCGGACAGACUCGCCCUCUCAACUUUAGGGCAAUGCUCCAUAAGAAAAUUACCGUUAACGGCUAUAAUCUAGGAGAUCCCCUUUACGUCUACGAUCACGGAAUUCCCGACCAAUUAGCUGGAGAAGGUAUCUUACUAAUGAGUUGGUCAAAUCAUCGCCGGAUCAUCAGAGAAUGCCAUAUUUAUCUCCAUUUUCUUAAAAUAUAAAAGGAGAAAGAUUACAAAGGUAAAAGUACGUUGUUCUCUCACACAACUACUCUUGAGUUAUAAACAUUAUACUCGCUUUUCUUCACCCUACUGACUUGAGCAUCAGAGUGGCUACCGUAAACACUCACCACCUCACAUUUUCUUUCUCACAGGUUUAGCCAAUCACAGCACAGUUCCAUUUCGGCUACGUCAUCAAUUUGAUUUUAACAACAUCAUUUGGUUCUGUUGUUAAGAAUUCCAUUGAAUUCUUUCUGUUCAUUUAGAUUAAAACCGAUCUCUUAUCCCUUUUUUCCUAAAAAGAAAUCUUUCUUUUAUCUUUAGAAAUGAUCGACAAUUCACGAGCCGCUGCUAAGGUUGCUAUCGAUGAAAAGGCUAUAAUUUCUUCCACUACCAGCAGUAGACAAAACACAUCUCCUAUAGUCAAUGAAGUAGAUUCCAAUAAUAUGAGCAUUGAGAAAAUACUCCAGUACGUUCGAAGGUUGUAGGUUAUUUUUGAGCAAUGUAAAGCUCAGGAAAAGGCAUCACUCAUGGCUCCUAGGGGAAGGGAGAAAGCUCAAGGAUUCGGACAGGGGCAAUCCAGACGCAUUCCAAAGAGAAGGACAAGUUCGAGGAAGAGGGGCCGUUAGAUGAUGUUCCCAAGGAUGUUGGCUAGAAGUUGGUACGGGUUGCCUAAAGGGGCCAGGAGGGAUGGGAAAAAGACAAAAGGAUGGAUCAGAAGCAAAGUCAAAAACCGAAGAAUCAAGGAUAUGAGGGAGACAAUAAAAGUUACUCAGUCCCCCGAGGAAAGAAUGGCCAAGGUAAGUAUAAAAAAUAUACCUCAUUGAAUGACUCAUGAACACAUAUUCUAAUGUGGAUUAGGAAAAAUGACAAAAAGAUCAGGUGACCUCUCAAACUCAAUCCUAAGAAAGCCAAAAAACGAGACAGGACUAGAUAUUGUCAUUUUCAUAAAGACCACGGACAUGUAACAAAGGAGCGCUGACAAUUGAAAGAUGAGAUCGAAAGGUUAGUAGGGAACGACACACACUUUGAAAGUUCAUCAAAAAUAGUAGAAAAGAUAAGAGGCCCAAACUCGAGGUAACAAUUCCCGAAAUCAUCAUUGACAGUAAACUUGUGAGGUUAUUCAUGUGAUUGCAGGACGACUGAGUGUUAAUGAGGGUGACAAUAAUGGGAAUAUCACAAAUGUCCAGCUCUUGAGUCAAACUCCAAGUUUUGAAAUCGGUCAAGUCAGACGACCGAAUCUUUUAUUAGAAAAAUAUUUAUAAUUUAUGAAAAUGUUAUAAAAAUAGGAUGCAUUCUUCAAAUUUCUUUUUUGAAUCGUUGGAUGGAUGAAAGCGUGGAGACAAGAACAAAGGUCACAAGGCCAUCUGGGCAUGGGUCCUACAUAUAAUUCGGGCAUUGGUCUACGGAAACAAACAUUUAUAAAAGGCCACAAGGCCAUCCGGGUAUGGGUCUCACAUAUAAUCCAGGUAUUGGUCCACAAAAACUAAUAUUCAUAAAAGGCCACAAGGCCAUUCGGACAUGGGUUCCGCAUAACCAGACAUUUCAUAUUAGGCCACAAGGCGGAUAUACACCAGGCCAACCAAGUGUUAGUCCCGUUUCACAAAAAAAUUUUAAGGCAUUUUAUAUCAGGCCACAAGGCGAAUAUAUGCUAGGUCAACCGGGUGUUAGUCCCAUUUUACAAAAAGAUUCUUAAGGCAUUUCAUCCAAGCCACAACACGGAUAUACGCCAGACCAACUAGGAGUUAGUCCUGUUUCAUAAAAAAUUUCUUAAGGCAUUUUAUGUCAUACCACAAAGGUGGAUAUACGCCAGGCUAACCGGGCAUGGGUCCCGCAGUGGACAAACAACGUGAAACACGGCAACUAUUUUCGGCAAUAAGAUCUGGAACCUAUCGAAAGGGUAAGUAAGAAGAAAGCAAGAAUAUCGUGCAUUCAGUCUAGACAAACAAGUCACAUGGCCCAGAUCAUGAAAACAUCUGUCACCUUCGAAUCUCAAGAAUCGAAGACCAGCGGAGAACCUCUGAUGCUACAUAAGACUCGCGCAAAAUAGACAGUAAGCUGUCACCAUAAGACAGAACUACGUGAGAAGGAUCUGAUAAACAUAUACGUAAUCCCACUUGUAGAAAGAAAACCUGAGCGCUUCAAGACAGAUUGACCUCAAGUCGAACAGACUUGGCCUCUCAAUUUCAGUGCAAGACUCCAUAAAAAAGUUACCAUUAACCGCUACAAUAUAAUUUCAGCAACAUUAAACACAAUUAUCAUGCAAAUUAAAUAAGAAUUAAUUAUAAAAAUUCAAAAAAUUAGUUAUAUUGAAAAAAAAGAGAUUAAAGUGUGUAGUAUGUAUAUAAAUAAUAUCAUUAGCUGAAAAAAAAAUUCUCAUUCUUAUAAUUUUAGUCCUUUUUUUAGUUUUCAAAAUUAUCAUCGAUUUUAUUUUUUACACUAUGUCCAUAUUUUUUUUCUAUUUUAUUUUAUUUAUAUUAUAAUAAUAUAUAAAUUAAUUAUUAUAAUUUUAUUUAAUUUAAUACUAUUUUUAAAAAGUCUUUUCAUAAUAUCCGGUAAUAGUUAAUAAAAUUUAAUAUUUUUAAAAUCCAUAUAAUUAUAAAAUUAAUAAAAAAAUGUUCAUCCAUUACGGACAUAGGAGGACAUCCUAAUCGUAAUGGAGAUGCACAAAAUGGACAGUGACGUGUCCUCUAUCAUUGCUUUCCUCACAUCGCAGCAAAACCGACGUCACGCUCUUCCUCCAUUCCUCUCUCGCGAAGAGCUAAGUUAAGCUCUUCUUCUCAGAAUUCAGAUUCUAGGGUUUCGUUUCCUUUCCCUCUUCUUUCUCAGAAGUUAAACCCCGCCAAAACCUUCUCAGUCCUCUACAUUUUGCCUCUUCGCUUUCCACAUUUCACCUCCAUUAUCAAUUUCUAUCUUCCAGGAAAAUCCAACUCCUCUGGACCUGCCACAUCAAUCUAUUCAUGGCCAAAACCAAACCAGGCAAAAAAGACCUCGAUUCCUACACUAUCAAAGGCACCAACAAAGUUGUUCGACGUAUGUAC